RNAcentral lists this ribosomal RNA (253 nucleotides) under uncultured bacterium. RNAcentral's name for it is "partial 16S ribosomal RNA". It matches the Rfam family "Bacterial small subunit ribosomal RNA", at positions 524 to 776 of the family's 1533-position model. The record is from RNAcentral.
UACGUAGGUGGCAAGCGUUAUCCGGAUUUAUUGGGUGUAAAGGGCGUGUAGGCGGGAGCGCAAGUCAGAUGUGAAAACUCGGGGCUCAACCCUGAGCCUGCAUUUGAAACUGUGUUUCUUGAGUGCUGGAGAGGCAAUCGGAAUUCCGUGUGUAGCGGUGAAAUGCGUAGAUAUACGGAGGAACACCAGUGGCGAAGGCGGAUUGCUGGACAGUAACUGACGCUGAGGCGCGAAAGCGUGGGGAGCAAACAGG